RNAcentral lists this ribosomal RNA (465 nucleotides) under Vreelandella stevensii. RNAcentral describes it as "partial 16S ribosomal RNA". It matches the Rfam family "Bacterial small subunit ribosomal RNA", at positions 338 to 795 of the family's 1533-position model. The record is from RNAcentral. Lineage: Bacteria; Pseudomonadati; Pseudomonadota; Gammaproteobacteria; Oceanospirillales; Halomonadaceae.
CCUACGGGUGGCUGCAGUGGGGAAUAUUGGACAAUGGGCGAAAGCCUGAUCCAGCCAUGCCGCGUGUGUGAAGAAGGCCUUCGGGUUGUAAAGCACUUUCAGUGGGGAAGAAAGCCUUGGGGCUAAUACCCUCGAGGAAGGACAUCACCCACAGAAGAAGCACCGGCUAACUCCGUGCCAGCAGCCGCGGUAAUACGGAGGGUGCGAGCGUUAAUCGGAAUUACUGGGCGUAAAGCGCGCGUAGGCGGUCUGAUAAGCCGGUUGUGAAAGCCCCGGGCUCAACCUGGGAACGGCAUCCGGAACUGUCAGGCUAGAGUGCAGGAGAGGAAGGUAGAAUUCCCGGUGUAGCGGUGAAAUGCGUAGAGAUCGGGAGGAAUACCAGUGGCGAAGGCAGCCUUCUGGACUGACACUGACGCUGAGGUGCGAAAGCGUGGGUAGCAAACAGGAUUAGAUACCCUAGUAGUC